This 554-nucleotide ribosomal RNA is filed under the name uncultured bacterium. Its description in RNAcentral is "partial 16S ribosomal RNA". The stretch from base 1 to 454 matches the Rfam family "Bacterial small subunit ribosomal RNA", at positions 1024 to 1533 of the family's 1533-position model. The record is from RNAcentral.
UUUUUUUUUAACAGGUGUUGCAUGGCUGUCGUCAGUUCGUGUUUUGAAAUGUUUGGUUUAUUCCACUAACGAGCGCAAUUCUAAUUUUUUAGUUGAUAUGUUUAUCGUAUUCUAAAAAUACAGCAAAGCUCACUAUUACUUUAUAAUAGUUUUGAGCUUUGAGGAAGGUAUAGAAGUAAGUCAAGUCUGUAUGGCUCUUAUGGAUUGGGCUACAUACGUGCUACAAUGGUAAUUACAAUGAGUUGCAAUUUUGUGAAAAAGCGCUAAUCUAUGAAAAAUUAUCUUUAUCGGAUUAAAUUUUGAAAUUCAAAUUUAUGAAGUUGGAAUCGUCAUUAAUCGCAAAUAAGUAUGUUGCGGUGAAUAUUAAACUAAGUCUAGUACUCACUGCUCGUCACGUUAUGGGAAUUUGCUAUAUUAGAAAUGAAAAGUCAUUUUCAUUUUAAUGUGGAAAAUUAAGGAUAUAUUGUUAAAAGAUUUGUUUUUAGUUUUUAUUAUUUAUUGAAUUUAAACUAGGUAUUAAAGUGUAUGUAGAUAACUGAAACGAAGUCGUAAAC